Molecule: long non-coding RNA, 2652 nt
Filed under: Homo sapiens (human)
Lineage: Eukaryota; Metazoa; Chordata; Mammalia; Primates; Hominidae
Description: maternally expressed 9 (MEG9)
Source: RNAcentral
CCACUCUGCACAGACACGUUGGCUGGUGCAGUCCUGGAGACCCACGGAGCUCACGGUCGUCAGGGGUCCUCAAGGAUUCAGAGAACCCCCAAAUGUCAGGGCUGCUCCCUUCUUGUCCUGCCUCUCUGCUCACACCCUUGGACAGGAGGAAGCACACGGGAGGCACUCAGAGAACGUUUGUGGAAUGAAUAAAUAAAAGCAUAUUUUGAGGGAAUAAAGAAGCAGAAAAACAAAGAAGAAUCUGGGGAAGAUGGGCAUAAAUCUCCACCAAGUGCUGCCAAGGCUUCCCAGGCGAGGCUGCUGAAAAGACCCUGUGGAGGUAGAGGGACAAUUUGUCAUGGAUGGGAAUGGGCUUGAGGGCCGGGAAGCAGGGCAUGAUGGGGCCUCAUUCAUCAUUUUCCCGUUAUCCCAGCAGCGUGCAGGGGAGCAGGUACAGCACCUGCCUGUGCAGCUGCACUGCCUGCCCGAAGGCCCUAGGCCCUGGGCCAAGUGAGUGACCAGAGGGGGACUGGGAAUGGAAAGGACCUCAAGGAAGGACAAGCUGAGCUCUGGGAGGCCACCUCCUCCAGGAAGCCUUCCCUGAUUCAUCCUUCACAGGCAGUCUCAAUUUGCAGUCAGAUAUCCACUGCUCUGAUUCUUAGAUCAGCAAGUAUCUCCCUACCCAGACUGCAGGCUCUGCUGGGGCCGCGGCUGUUUCUGACUUGUGCACAAUGGCAUCCCUGUACCUAGCACAGGACUGAGUCCAGAGAAAGUGCUCAGUGAUGCUUGUUGGCCUUGUCUCUCCUCUGUGGGCAGCACAGGGCACCCGGCGGGUCCUGAGGGUGUGGACAUCCCACGGCAGAGCCUGCGGUUGAUCCCGACCAUGAACCAAGGCCUGGGGCGGGGGUGGCCACAUCAGGCCACUUCUGCCAGGAGAGAUGUGGCUGUGAGCUGGGGGUCUGGCCUGUCCCCGGAGGCAUUCCUUGGGUUUGCAUCCAUCAGAAGAUCCACUGGUUGCCUCUAUUUGGGCCUGGAGCAGGGAUGGGAUUUUUCCAAGGUACAUGGGGUCUAGGGGAGACCCAGGCCCAUUAUUAGGGUCGGUCUUGAGAAGGCAGAGAUCAGGCCACCACUUUAUUUGGUGUAGCUCCUCGCUCCAUUGGUGUGUGCUGAGUGAAUGAAUGCAUCAGGGACUCCUGCUUCCUGCCCAGAGCCCCCUCCGCACCCCACACAGCCUUGCUCCAAGGAGAAGGGGUCAGAGCCAACUGGACAGUGCUACAGCAUGGGGAGCCUCGACCAGGCUCGGCCCUCGACGAUGGGAUAGGCAGACAGCCCCCUGUGCAAGGCAGCUAGCUUGCAGGGUCCCGAGAGGCCAAAGGCCCUGGUCUUUCCUGGGGCAAGAGGCUGCUGAGAAGGUGCACAGAGCCUGGGUGCAGGAAACCAUCCAGAAUGCUGCUUCCCGCCAUCUGUGAGAUCUUCGUUUUCUCUAACACUCAAAAAUAGAUGUUUCUGUUAUGCUCUCUCGUUGGCAGGGGAGCGGCAGGACCUGCCAAGGCCUGGGGGAGCCCGCCAGCCUGCUGAGUUCUACUGUACAAACAGUUGGGGAGGGGGCGCUGUCUCUGUUAACUUGAAAUUCCCCGAUCAGUAAACAUGCCAAUUUAAAGUGUAAUUAACUCAGGCCGGAAAAAAUUCAGAUUUGGACUGCUUUUCACAGUUGAGGUUGUUUUUCUUUUAUUUAUUUAUCUCUUUCCGGGUGUGGUGGUAUCUGUGGCUGGUUUUAGCCAGGAAAAAUAGAAGGGGGACCGGGUGGGGAGGGGGCUGGUUGGGAGAGGAAAGGCUGGAAGGAAAGGAAGAGAAACGGGCGGGUGGCCUGACACCCAGCAGCCAGGUGUCUAUAGGUUUUCUGUCCUGGGAGGGGGCUGUCAGGGUGAUGCCCGCCUGCAGAGAGGGGGUCAUUCUGCGAGGUUGGGCUGCAGACCCCUGUGCCAGCGGGCCUGGUGAUUCGGAAAUGAUGGGGCACUGUGGAGAGACCCCAGGAAAACACCCAGUGCUGCUUUUGACAUUCUCUCUCCAUCUCCCCUUUCAGCGGCUGCUCUGCCUGGGAUAAACACAUUUCAAGAGUCUCAGUCCCCGCUUUGCCACCAUCUCCUCCUCUGAUCUCCUUUCCUGCUUCAAAAGACUCCAGAAUCUUCUCGGUUCUCAGAGAAGGCUGAAUCCACCUAUGACCUAGUGGGAGCACCCUGUGCCGAAACUGUUUACCUUCUGGUCCCCGGAGCCAUGGGUCACGACCUGGGCCUCAUGUAGGCCCGCUCCUCAGCAGACCCCAAUCUGCGGCUUCUCCCACCUCACUGGGGAAGAAGGAGAGCCCUGGGGAUGUGGAGAAGCCACCCCCCACCCCGCCACAUCCCCCACAUCUUACAGAAUCUCGAUUGAAUCCCCGGGGGCACAUCCCUCAGCAGGACAGCAACAGUCUUUGCCGCAGCCUGGGGAGGGCUGUGCUGGGGAUGAGCGCCGAGUGGCCGUGGACUAAGUGAAGGAAAUGACCAUGCUCUUCUCCCAGCUGGAUGGCGAGGCCGGGCAGGAACCGCGGAAUUCCUGCUCUUCGUUUUCAAACACUUUGCUGUCAAGCUAUUUGAAUAAUAAAUACACAUUAUAAAAAUGUAAAAAAAAAAAAAA